UACGAAGGGGGCUAGCGUUGCUCGGAAUCACUGGGCGUAAAGCGCACGUAGGCGGAUUGUUAAGUCAGGGGUGAAAUCCUGGAGCUCAACUCCAGAACUGCCUUUGAUACUGGCGAUCUUGAGUCCGGGAGAGGUGAGUGGAACUGCGAGUGUAGAGGUGAAAUUCGUAGAUAUUCGCAAGAACACCAGUGGCGAAGGCGGCUCACUGGCCCGGUACUGACGCUGAGGUGCGAAAGCGUGGGGAGCGAACCGG
Molecule: ribosomal RNA, 253 nt
Filed under: uncultured bacterium
Lineage: Bacteria
Description: partial 16S ribosomal RNA
Rfam family: Bacterial small subunit ribosomal RNA
Source: RNAcentral